AAUGAACGUUGGCGGCGUGGAUUAGGCAUGCAAGUCGAACGCCCCGCAAGGGGAGUGGCGCAAGGGUGAGUAAGGCGACGGUAACCAACCUCGCGGACGGGCAUAGCCGGGGGAAACCCCGGGUAAUUCCCGGCGACGCGGAUGUCCGGCAUCGGAUGUCCGCCAAAGGCCUCGGCCGCCGGGAGACGGGCCGUCGUGGUAUUAGGUCGUUGGUGGGGUGACGGCCCACCAAGCCUGCGAUGCCUACCGGGUGUGCGAGCAUGGCCCGGCACACUGGGACUGAGACACUGCCCAGACUCCUACGGGAGGCUGCAGUCGAGAAUCUUCGGCAAUGGGCGCAAGCCUGACCGAGCGACGCCGCGUGGAGGACGAAGGCCUUCGGGUUGUAAACUCCUGUCGAGGGGGAGGAAGGCGCGGCAACGCGCUUGACCGAUCCCUGGAGGAAGCACGGGCUAAGUUCGUGCCAGCAGCCGCAGUAAAAC
Molecule: ribosomal RNA, 482 nt
Filed under: uncultured bacterium
Lineage: Bacteria
Description: bacterial SSU rRNA
Rfam family: Bacterial small subunit ribosomal RNA
Source: RNAcentral